GUAAAGGCAUUUUGGAGACACAGGCUGGGAAGAGUCUGGACAAGGCAAGGAGAGACUUGAGCCCAGGAGUGGAUCAAGAGGAAGAUGUGGAUGGUGCUUCUGCAAGGCACGGCCUAUGUUAUUCACUAGAAGGUGAGCUCAAUUCUAGAAGAUGUUUCUUCAGUGUGCCCAGCUCCUGGAAAAGUGGACUCAAGAGAGGUUCUGGUGACAAAAAACCUCCACAAGAAACUACAGUUUCAAUCCACAGUGGGUUGCGCCUGCAAAGAAAUUUUUACAACACCAACCAUUCCUAAGGACCAUCUAUUCCUUCCUUAAUUAAAAGUAUAUAGUUAAAAAUACUUAGAGAAA
This 348-nucleotide long non-coding RNA is filed under the name Homo sapiens (human). Its description in RNAcentral is "non-protein coding lnc-TBXAS1-1:1". Lineage: Eukaryota; Metazoa; Chordata; Mammalia; Primates; Hominidae. The record is from RNAcentral.